RNAcentral lists this ribosomal RNA (1447 nucleotides) under Klebsiella sp. VITKAS-2. RNAcentral describes it as "bacterial SSU rRNA". It matches the Rfam family "Bacterial small subunit ribosomal RNA". Lineage: Bacteria; Pseudomonadati; Pseudomonadota; Gammaproteobacteria; Enterobacterales; Enterobacteriaceae. The record is from RNAcentral.
GUGCCUAUGCGGAGCUACACAUGCAAGUCGAGCGGUAGCACAGAGAGCUUGCUCUCGGGUGACGAGCGGCGGACGGGUGAGUAAUGUCUGGGAAACUGCCUGAUGGAGGGGGAUAACUACUGGAAACGGUAGCUAAUACCGCAUAAUGUCGCAAGACCAAAGUGGGGGACCUUCGGGCCUCAUGCCAUCAGAUGUGCCCAGAUGGGAUUAGCUAGUAGGUGGGGUAACGGCUCACCUAGGCGACGAUCCCUAGCUGGUCUGAGAGGAUGACCAGCCACACUGGAACUGAGACACGGUCCAGACUCCUACGGGAGGCAGCAGUGGGGAAUAUUGCACAAUGGGCGCAAGCCUGAUGCAGCCAUGCCGCGUGUGUGAAGAAGGCCUUCGGGUUGUAAAGCACUUUCAGCGGGGAGGAAGGCGUUAAGGUUAAUAACCUUGGCGAUUGACGUUACCCGCAGAAGAAGCACCGGCUAACUCCGUGCCAGCAGCCGCGGUAAUACGGAGGGUGCAAGCGUUAAUCGGAAUUACUGGGCGUAAAGCGCACGCAGGCGGUCUGUCAAGUCGGAUGUGAAAUCCCCGGGCUCAACCUGGGAACUGCAUUCGAAACUGGCAGGCUAGAGUCUUGUAGAGGGGGGUAGAAUUCCAGGUGUAGCGGUGAAAUGCGUAGAGAUCUGGAGGAAUACCGGUGGCGAAGGCGGCCCCCUGGACAAAGACUGACGCUCAGGUGCGAAAGCGUGGGGAGCAAACAGGAUUAGAUACCCUGGUAGUCCACGCCGUAAACGAUGUCGAUUUGGAGGUUGUGCCCUUGAGGCGUGGCUUCCGGAGCUAACGCGUUAAAUCGACCGCCUGGGGAGUACGGCCGCAAGGUUAAAACUCAAAUGAAUUGACGGGGGCCCGCACAAGCGGUGGAGCAUGUGGUUUAAUUCGAUGCAACGCGAAGAACCUUACCUGGUCUUGACAUCCACAGAACUUUCCAGAGAUGGAUUGGUGCCUUCGGGAACUGUGAGACAGGUGCUGCAUGGCUGUCGUCAGCUCGUGUUGUGAAAUGUUGGGUUAAGUCCCGCAACGAGCGCAACCCUUAUCCUUUGUUGCCAGCGGUUAGGCCGGGAACUCAAAGGAGACUGCCAGUGAUAAACUGGAGGAAGGUGGGGAUGACGUCAAGUCAUCAUGGCCCUUACGACCAGGGCUACACACGUGCUACAAUGGCAUAUACAAAGAGAAGCGACCUCGCGAGAGCAAGCGGACCUCAUAAAGUAUGUCGUAGUCCGGAUUGGAGUCUGCAACUCGACUCCAUGAAGUCGGAAUCGCUAGUAAUCGUAGAUCAGAAUGCUACGGUGAAUACGUUCCCGGGCCUUGUACACACCGCCCGUCACACCAUGGGAGUGGGUUGCAAAAGAAGUAGGUAGCUUAACCUUCGGGAGGGCGCUACCACAGUGAUACAGAUUCG